This 499-nucleotide ribosomal RNA is filed under the name uncultured bacterium. RNAcentral describes it as "partial 16S ribosomal RNA". It matches the Rfam family "Bacterial small subunit ribosomal RNA", at positions 28 to 507 of the family's 1533-position model. The record is from RNAcentral.
GACGAACGCUGGCGGCGUGCUUAACACAUGCAAGUCGAACGGGCCUGUCUUCUUUUUUGGGGGUGGGUUGAGUGGCGAACGGGUGAGUAUCACGUGAGUAACCUGCCCUUCGGUCCUGGAUAACCGCUUGAAAGGGCGGCUAAUACGGGGUGGUCCGGUUGGUCCGCAUGGGCUGGUCGGGAUAGAUUCACUGUUUUUGGUGUUUCGGCGGGGGAUGGGCUCGCGGCCUAUCAGCUUGUUGGUGGGGUGAUGGCCUACCAAGGCGGUGACGGGUAGCCGGGCUGAGGGGGUGGGCGGCCACACUGGGACUGAGAUACGGCCCAGACUCCUGCGGGAGGCAGCAGUGGGGGGUAUUGCACAAUGGGCGGAAGCCUGAUGCAGCGACGUCGCGUGAGGGAUGGAGGCCUUCGGGUUGUGAACCUCUGUUUCCGGUGGUGAAGGCCCUGUCCGUGUGGUGGGGUUGACGGUAGCCGGGGAUGAAGCGCCGGCUAACUACGUG